UUCUUUCAUCAGUUUGUUCCCUGUUUCUUCUCUAGCCUGAGCCUGACACACUAUUCUAGCUAGACAUGGGUGUGGCUCGUGACACCUGAUGACCAAAUGGAUCUACGGCACCGUCGAAUCUCAAACUUUAACUGCCAAAACUAUUGUUUUUCAUCCUGUAGUCCCUUUUAGAAUUACGAAACGUCCUUUUUUGGGCCAUGAUUUCCAGGAAUGCUUUCUCGGGGUUUGUGUGCACGUAUUUCAAACCAUACGGACCUAAAAAUUAGAAGUCAUUCCAUCUUUAUUCCCCUAGAGCCUUCCGGCAGUUCCUAAACUGCUCUAUUUGGAGCAUGUUAUCAUUCUUGUUAGUUCUGAGUGAAUUCCCUCGGUAUGAUCAUUCUUUCAUCAGUUUGUUCCCCGUUUCUUCUCUAGUCUGAGCCUAGCACACUAUUCUAGCUAUUAAUGGGUGUGGAUCGUAACACCUGAUGAGCAAACGGAUCUACGGCACCAUCGAAUCUCAAACUUUAACUGCCAAAACUAUUGUUUUUCAUUCUGUAGUCCCUUUUCGAAUUAUUAAACGUCCUUUUUUGGGCCGAGAUUUCCAGGAACGCUUUCUCGGGGUUUGUGUGCAUGUAUUUCAAAUCAUACGGACCUAAAAAUUAGAAGGCAUUCCAUCUUUAUUCCCCUAGAGACUUCCAGCAGUUCCUAAACCGCUCCAGUCGGAGCAUGUUAUCAUUCUUGUUAGUUCUGAGCGAAUUCCCUCGGUAUGAUCAUUCUAUCAUCUGUUUGUUCCCUGUUUCUUCGCUAGCCUAAGCCUGACACACUAUUCUAGGUAGACAUGGGUGUGGCUCGUGACACCUAAUGACCAAACGGAUCUACGGCACCCUCGAAUCUCAAACUUUAACUACCAAAACUAUUGUUUUUCAUUCUGUAGUCCCUUUUAGAUUACUAAACAUCCUUUUUUGGGCUGAGAUUUCCAGGAACGCUUUCUCGGGGUUUGUGUGCAUGUAUUUCAAACCAAACGUUCCUAAAAUUAGAAGUCAUUCCAUCUUAAUUCCCCUAGAGCCUUCUAGCAAUUCCUAAACAGCUCUAGUCGGAGCAUGUUAUCAUUCUUGUUAAUUCUGAGCGAAUUCCCUCCGUAUGAUCAUUCUUUCAUCAGUUUGUUCUCCGUUUCUGCUCUAGUCUGAGCCUAGCACACUAUUCUAGCUAUUAAUGGGUGUGGAUCGUAACACCUAAUGACCAAACGGAUCUACGACACCAUCGAAUCUCAAACUUUAACUGCCAAAACUAUUGUUUUUCAUCCUGUAGUCCCUUUUCGAAUUAUUAAACGUCCUUUUUUGGGCCGAGAUUUCCAGGAACGCUUUCUCGGGGUUUGUGUGGAUGUAUUUCAAAUCAUACGGACCUAAAAAUUAGAAGGCAUUCCAUCUUUAUUCCCCUAGAGCCUUCCAGCAGUUCCUANNNNNNNNNNNNNNNNNNNNNNNNNNNNNNNNNNNNNNNNNNNNNNNNNNNNNNNNNNNNNNNNNNNNNNNNNNNNNNNNNNNNNNNNNNNNNNNNNNNNNNNNUCGCUAGCCUAAGCCUGACACACUAUUCUAGCUACACAUGGGUGUGGCUCGUGACACCUAAUGACCAAACAGAUCUACGGCACCGUCGAAUCUCAAACUUUAACUACCAAAACUAUUGUUUUUCAUUCUGUAGUCCCUUUUAAAUUACUAAACGUCAUUUUUUGGGCCGAGAUUUCUAGGAACGCUUUCUCGGGGUUUGUGUGCAUGUAUUUCAAGUCAUAUGGACCUAAAAAUUAGAAUCCAUUCCAUCUUUAUUCCCCUAGAGCCUUCCAGCAGUUCCUAAACUGCUCCAGUCGGAGCACAUUAUCAUUAUUGUUAGUUCUGACUGAAUUCCCUCGGUAUGAUCAUUCUUUCAUCAGUUUGUUCCCCGUUUCUGCUCUACUCUGAGCUUAACACACUAUUCUAGCUAGGCAUGGGUGUGGCUCGUAACACCUGAUGACCAAACGGAUCUACGAUACCGUCGAAUCUCAAACUUUGACUACGAAAACUAUUGUUUUUCAUUCUAUAGUCCCUUUUAGAAUUACUAAACGUCCUUUUUUGGGCCGAGAUUUCCAGGAACGCUUUCUCGGGGUUUGUGUGCACGUAUUUCAAACAAUACGGACCUAAAAAUUAGAAUUCAUUCCAUCUUUAUUCCCCUAGAGCCUUCCAGCAGUUCCUAAACCGCUCUAGUCGGAGCACUUUAUCAUUCUUGUUAGUUCUCAGCGAAUUCCCUCGGUAUGAUCAUUCUUUCAUCAGUUUGUUCCCCAUUUCUUCUCUAGCCUGAGCCUAACACACUAUUCUAGCUACACAUGGGUGUGGCUCGUCACACCCGAUGACCAAACGGAUCUACGGCACCGUCGAAUCUCAAACUUUAACUGCCAAAACUAUUGUUUUUCAUCCUGUAGUCCCUUUUAGAAUUACUAAACGUCCUUUUUUGGGUAGAUAUUUCUAGGAACGCUUUAUCGGGGUUUGUGUGCACGUAUUUCAGACCAUACGGACCUAAAAAUUAGAAGUCAUUCCAUCUUUAUUCCCCUAUAGCCUUCCAGCAGUUCCUAAACCGCUCCAGUCGGAGCCCGUUAUCAUUCUUGUUAGUUUUGAGCGAAUUCCCUCGGUAUGAUCAUUCUUUCAUCAGUUUGUUCCCCGUUUCUUCUCUAGUCUAAGCCUAGCACACUAGUUUAGCUAGACAUGGGUGUGGCUCGUAACACCUGAUGGCCAAACGGAUCUACGGCACCGUGAAAUCUCAAACUUUAACUGCCAAAACUAUUGUUUUUCAUCCUGUAGUCCCUUUUAGAAUUACUAAACGUCCUUUUUUGGGCUGAGAUUUCCAGGAACACUUUCUCGGGGUUUGUGUGCAUGUAUUUCAAACCAUAUGGACCUAAAAAUUAGAAGUCAUUCCAUCUUUAUUCCCCUAGAGCCUUCCAACAGUCCCUAAACCGCUCCAGUCCGAGCAUGUUAUCAUUCUUGUUAGUUCUGAGUGAAUUCCCUCGGUAUGAUCAUUCUUUCAUCAGUUUGUUCCCCAUUUCUUCUCUAGUCUGAGCCUAGCUCACUAUUCUAGCUAGACAUGGGUGUGGCUCAUAAUACCUGAUGACCAAACGGAUCUACGGCACCAUCGAAUCUCAAACUUUAACUGCCAAAACAAUUGUUUUUCAUCCUGUAGUCCCUUUUAGAAUUACUAAACGUCCUUUUUUGGGCCGAGAUUUCCAGGAACGCUUUCUCGGGGUUUGUGUGCACGUAUUUCAAACCAAGCGUUCUUAAAAAUUAGAAGUCAUUCCAUCUUUAUUCCCCUAGAGCCUUACAGCAGUUCCUAAACUGCUCCAGUCGGCGCACGUUAUCAUUCUUGUUAGUUCUGAGCGAAUUCCCUCGGUAUGAUCAUUCUUUCAUCAGUUUGUUCCCCGUUUCUUCUCUAGUUUGAGCCUAGCACACUAUUCUAGCUAGACAUGGGUGUGGGUCAUAACACCUGAUGACCAAACAGAUCGACGACACCAUCGAAUCUCAAACUUUAACUGCCAAAACUAUUGUUUUUCAUCCUGUAGUCCCUUUUAGAAUUACUAAACGUCCUUUUUUGGGUCGAGAUUUCCAAGAAAGCUUUCUCGGGCUUUGUGUGCACGUAUUUCAAACCAAAAAUUUCUAAAAAUUAGAAGUCAUUCCAUCUUUAUUCCCCUAGAGCCUUCCAGCAGUUCCUAAACAGCUCCAGUCGGAGCACGUUAUCAUUCUUGUUAGUUCUGAGCGAAUUCCCUCGGUAUGAUCAUUCUUUCAUCAGUUUGUUCCCCGUUUCUUCUAUAGUCUGAGCCUAUCACACUAUUCUAGCUAGACAUGGGUGUGGCUCGUAACACCUGAUGACCAAACGGAUCUACGGCACCAUCGAAUCUAAAACUUUAACUGCCAAAACUAUUGUUUUUCAUCCUGUAGUCCCUUUAGAACUACUAAAUGUCCUUUUUUGGGCCAAGAUUUCCAGGAACGCUUUCUCGGGGUUUGUGUGCAUGUAUUUCAAACCAUACGGACCUAAAAAUUAGGUCAUUCCAUCUUUAUUCCCCUAGAGCCUUCCAGCAGUUCCUAAACCGCUCCAGUCGGAGCAUGUUAUCAUUCUUGUUUGUUCUGAGUGAAUUCCCUCAGUAUGAUCAUUCUUUCAUCAUUUUGUUCCCCGUUUCUUCUCUAGUCUGAGCCUAGCACACUAUUCUAGCUAGACAUGGGUGUGGCUCGUAACACCUGACCAAACGGAUCUACGGCACCGUCGAAUCUCAAACUUUAACUGCCAAAACUAUUGUUUUUCAUCCUGUAGUCCCUUUUAAAUUUAAUAAACGUCCUUUUUUGGGCUGAGAUUUCCAGGAACGCUUUCGUGCGGUUUGUGUGCAAGUAUUUCAAAUCAUACAGACCUAUAAAUUAGAAGUCAUUUCAUCUUUAUUCCCCUAGAGCCUUCGAGCGGUUCCUAAACCGCUCAAGUCGGAGCAUGUUAUCAUUCUUGUUAGUUCUGAGUGAAUUCCCUCGGUAUGAUCAUUCUUUCAUCAGUUUGUUCCCCGUUCCUUCUCUAGUCUGAGCCUAGCACACUACUCUAGCUAGACAUGGGUUUGGCUCGUAACACCUGAUAACCAAACGGGUCUACGACACCAUCGAAUCUCAAACUUUUUUGGGCCAAGAUUUGCAGGAACGCUUUCUCGGGGUUUGUGUGCACGUAUUUCAAAUCAUGCGGACCUAAAAAUUAGAAGUCAUUCCAUAUUUGUUCCCCUAGAGCCUUCCAGCAGUUCCUAAACCGCUCCAGUUGGACCACGUUAUCAUUCUUGUUAGUUCUGAGUGAAUUACCUCGGUAUGAUCAUUCUUUCAUAAGUUUGUUCCCCGUUUCUUCUAUAGUCUGAGCCUAGCACACUACUCUAGCUAGACAUGGGAGUGGCUCGUAACACCUGAUGACCAAACAGAUCUAUGGCACCGUCGAAUCUCAAACUUUAACUGCCAAAACUAUUGUUUUUCAUCCUGUAGUCCCUUUUAGAAUUACUAAACGUCAUUUUUUGGGCUGAGAUUUCCAGGAACGCUUUCGCGGGGUUUGUGUGCACGUAUUUCAAACCAUAGGGACCUAAAAAUUAGAAGUCAUUCCAUCUUUAUUCCCCUAGAGCCUAACACACUAUUCUAGCUAGACAUGGGUGUGGCUCGUAACACCUGAUGACAAAACGGAUCUACGGCACCAUCGAAUCUCAAACUUUAACUGCCAAAAUUAUUGUAUUUCAUCCUGUAGUCCCUUUUAGAAUUAUUAAACGUCCUUUUUUUGGGCUGUGAUUUCCAUGAACGCUUUCUCGGGGUUUCUGUGCACGUAUUUCAAAUCAUACGGACCUAAAAAUUAGAAGUCAUUCCAUCUUUAUUCCCCUAGAGCCUUCCAACAGUUCCUAAACCGCUCCAGUCGGAGCACAUUAUCAUUCUUGUUAGUUCUGAGUGAAUUCCCAUGGUAUGAUCAUUCUUUCAUUAGUUUGUUCCCCGUUUCUUCUCUAGUCUGAGCCUACCACACUAUUCUAGCUAGACAUGGGUGUGGCUCAUAACACCUUAUGACCAAACGGAUCUACGGCACCAUCGAAUCUCAAACUUUAACCGCCAAAACUAUUGUUUUUCAUCAUGUAGUCCCUUUUAGAAUUACUAAACGUCCUUCUUUGGGCAGAGAUUUCCAGGAAUGCUUUAUCGGGGUUUGUGUGCACGUAUUUCAGACCAUACGGACCUAAAAAUUAGAAGUCAUUCCAUCUUUAUUCCCCUAGAGCCUUCCAAUAGUUCCUGAACCGCUCCAGUCGGAGCAUGUUAUCAUUCUUGUUAGUUCUGAGCGAAUUCCCUCGGUAUGAUCAUUCUUUCAUCAGUUUGUUUCCCGUUUCUUCUCUAGUCUGAGCCUAGCACACUACUCUAGCUAGACAUUGGUGUGGCUCGUAACACCUGAUGACCAAACGGAUCUACGGCACUGUCAAAUCUCAAACUUUAACUGCCAAAACUAUUGUUUUUCAUCCUGUAGUCCCUUUUAGAAUUACUAAACGUCCUUUUUUGGGCCGAUAUUUCCAGGAACGCUUUCUUGGGGUUUGUGUGCAUGUAUUUCAAACCAUAUGGAACUAAAAAUUACAAGUCAUUCCAUCUUUAUUCCCCUAGAGCCUUCCAGCAGUUCCUAAACCGCUCCAAUCGGAGCAUGUUAUCAUUCUUGUUAAUUCUGAGUGAAUUCCCUUGGUAUGAUCAUUCUUUCAUCAGUUUGUUCCCGAUUUCUUCUCCAGUCUGAGCCUAGCUCACUAUUCUAGCUAGACAUGGGUGUGGCUCAUAAUACCUGAUGACCAAACGGAUCUACGACACCAUCGAAUCUCAAACUUUAACUGCCAAAACUAUUGUUUUUCAUCUUGUAGUCCCUUUUAGAAUUACUAAACGUCCUUUUGUGGGCUGAGAUUUCCAGGAACGCUUUAUCGGGGUUUGUGUGCUCGUAUUUCAGACCAUACGGACCUAAAAAUUAGAACUCAUUCCAUCUUUAUUCCCCUAGAGCCUUCCAGCAGCUCCUAAACCGCUCCAGUCGAGCACGUUAUCAUUCUUGUUAGUUCUGAGCAAAUUCCCUCGUUAUGAUCAUUCUUUCAUCAGUUUGUUCCCCGUUUCUUCUCUGGUCUGAGCCUAGCACACUAUUCUAGCUAUUAAUGGGUGUGGAUCGUAACACUUGAUGAUCAAACAGAUCUACGGCACCAUCGAUUCUCAAACUUUAACUGCCAAAACUAUUGUUUUUCAUCCUGUAGUCCCUUUUAGAAUUAUUAAACGUCCUUUUUUGGGCCGAGAUUUCUAGGAACGCUGUCUCGGGGUUUGUGUGCACGUAUUUCUAAUCAUACGGACCUAAAAAUUAGAAGUCAUUCCAUAUUUAUUCCCCUAGAGCCUUCCAGCAGUUCCUAAACCGCUCAAGUCGGAGCACGUUAUCAUUCUUGUUAGUUCUUAGCGAAUUCCCUCGAUAUGAUCAUUCUUUCAUCAGUUUGUUCCCCGUUUCUUCUCUAGCCUGAGCCCGACACACUAUUCUAGCUAGACAUGGGUGUGGCUCGUAACACCUAAUGACCAAACGGAUCUACGGCACCGUUGAAUCUCAAACUUUAACAGCCAAAAUUAUUGUUUUUCAUUAUGUAGUCUCUUUUAAAUUACUAAACGUCAUUUUUUGAGCUGAGAUAUCCAGGAACGCUUUCUCGGGGUUUUUGUGCACGUAUUUCAAAUCAUACGGACCUGAAAAUUAGAAGUCAUUCCAUCUUUAUUCCCCUAGAGCCUUCCAGCAGUUCCUAAACCGCUCCAGUUGGACCACGUUAUCAUUCUUGUUAGUUCUGAGUGAAUUACCUUAGUAUGAUCAUUCUUUCAUCAGUUUGUUCCCUGUUUCUUCUAUAGUCUGAGCCUAGCACACUACUCUAGCUAGACAUGGGUGUGGCUCGUAACACCUGAUGACCAAACAGAUCUACGGCACCGUCGAAUCUCAAACUUUAACUGCCAAAACUAUUGUUUUUCAUCCUGUAGACCCUUUUAGAAUUACUAAACGUCCUUUUUUGGGCUGAGAUUUCCGGGAACGCUUUCACGGGGUUUGUGUGCACGUAUUUUAAACCAUAUGGACCUAAAAAUUAGAAGUCAUUCCAUCUUUAUUCCCAUAGAGCCUAACACACUAUUCUAGCUAGAUAUGGGUGUGGCUCGUAACACCUGAUGACCAAACGGAUCUACGGCACCAUCGAAUCUCAAACUUUAACUGCCAAAACUAUUGUAUUUCAUCAUGUAGUCCCUUUUAGAAUUAUUAAACGUCCUUUUUUAGGGCCGUGAUUUCCAUGAACGCUUUCUUGGGGUUUCUGUGCAUGUAUUUCAAAUCAUACGGACCUAAAAAUUAGAAGUCAUUCCAUCUUUAUUCCCCUAGAGCCUUCCAGCAGUUCCUAAACCGCUUCAGUCGGAGCACGUUAUCAUUCUUGUUAGUUCUGAGUGAAUUCCCUUGGUAUGAUCAUUCUUUCAUCAGUUUGUUCCCCGUUUCUUCUCUAGUCUGAGCCUAGCACACUAUUCUAGCUAGACAUGGGUGUGGCUCAUAACACCUCAUGACCAAACGGAUCUACGGCACCAUCGAAUCUCAAACUUUAACUGCCAAAACUAUUGUUUUUCAUCCUGUAGUCCCUUUUAGAAUUACUAAACGUCCUUUUUUGGGCAGAUAUUUCCAGGAACGCUUUAUCGGGGUUUGUGUGCUCGUAUUUCAGACCAUACGGACCUAAAAAUUAGAACUCAUUCCAUCUUUAUUCCCCUAUAGCCUUCCAGCAAUUCCGAAACCACUCUAUUCGGAGCACGUUAUCAUUCUUGUUAGUUCUAAAAGAAUUCCCUCGGUAUGAUCAUUCUUUCAUCAGUUUAUUUCCCGUUUCUUCUCUAGUCUAAGCCUAGCACACUAGUCUAGCUAGACAUGGGUGUGGCUCGUAACACCUGAUGACCAAACGGAUCUACGGCACCGUCAAAUCUCAAACUUUAACUGCCAAAACUAUUGUUUUUCAUCCUGUAGUCCCUUUAGAAUUACAAAAGGUCCUUUUUUGGGCCGAGAUUUCCAGGAACACUUUCUCGGGGGUUUGUGUGCAUGUAUUUCAAACCAUAUGGACCUAAAAAUUAGAAGUCAUUCCAUCUUUAUUCCCCUAGAGCCUUCCAGCAGUUCCUAAACCGCUCCAGUCGGAGCAUGUUAUCAUUCUUGUUAGUUCUGAGUGAAUUCCCUCGGUAUGAUCAUUCUUUCAUCAGUUUGUUCCCCAUUUCUUCUCUAGUCUGAGCCUAGCUCACUAUUCUAGCUAGACAUGGGUGUGGCUCGUAAUACCUGAUGACCAAAUGGAUCUACGGCACCAUCGAAUCUCAAACUUUUACUGCCAAAACUAUUGUUUUUCAUCCUGUAGUCCCUUUUAGAAUUACUAAACGUCCUUUUUUGGGCUGAGAUUUCCAGGAACGCUUUCUUGGGGUUUGUGUGCACGUAUUUCAAACCAAGCGUUCCUAAAAAUUAGAAGUCAUUCCAUCUUUAUUCCCCUAGAGCCUUACAGCAGUUCCUAAACUGCUCCAGUCGGCGCACGUUAUCAUUCUUGUUAGUUCUGAGUGAAUUCCCUCGGUAUGAUCAUUCUUUCAUCAGUUUGUUCCCCGUUUCUUCUCUAGUCUGAGCCUACCACACUAUUCUAGCUAGACAUGGGUGUGGCUCAUAACACCUUAUGACCAAACGGAUCUACGGCACCAUCGAAUCUCAAACUUUAACUGCCAAAACUAUUGUUUUUCAUCCUGUAGUCCCUUUUAGAAUUACUAAACGUCCUUUUUUGGGCAGAUAUUUCCAGGAAUGCUUUAUCGGGGUUUGUGUGCACGUAUUUCAGACCAUACGGACCUAAAAAUUAGAAGUCAUUCCAUCUUUAUUCCCCUAUAGCCUUCCACCAGUUCCUAAACCACUCCAGUCGGAGCACGUUAUCAUUCUUGUUAGUUCUGAGCGAAUUCCCUCGGUAUGAUCAUUCUUUCAUCAGUUUAUUCCCCGUUUCUUCUCUAGUCUAAGCCUAGCACACUAGUCUAGCUAGACAUGGGUGUGGCUCGUAACACCUGAUGACCAAACGGAUCUACGGCACCGUCAAAUCUCAAACUUUAACUGCCAAAACUAUUGUUUUUCAUCCUGUAGUCCCUUUUAGAAUAACUAAACGUCCUUUUUUGGGCCGAGAUUUCCGGGAACACUUUCUCGGGGUUUGUGUGCAUGUAUUUCAAACCAUAUGGACCUAAAAAUUAGAAGUCAUUCCAUCUUUAUUCCCCUAGAGCCUUCCAGCAGUUCCUAAACCGCUCCAGUCGGAGCAUGUUAUCAUUCUUGUUAGUUCUGAGUGAAUUCCCUCGGUACGAUCAUUCUUUCAUCAGUUUGUUCCCCGUUUCUUCUCUAGUCUGAGCCUAGCUCACUAUUCUAGCUAGACAUGGGUGUGGCUCAUAAUACCUGAUGACCAAACGGAUCUACGGCACUAUCGAAUCUCAAACUUUAACUGCCAAAACUAUUGUUUUUCAUCCUGUAGUCCCUUUUAGAAUUACUAAACGUCCUUUUUUGGGCCGAGAUUUCCAGGAACGCUUUCUUGGGGUUUGUGUGCAUGUAUUUCAAACCAAGCGUUCCUAAAAAUUAGAAGUCAUUCCAUCUUUAUUCCCCUAGAGCCUUACAGCAGUUCCUAAACUGCUCCAGUCGGCGCACGUUAUCAUUCUUGUUAGUUCUGAGCGAAUUCCCUCGGUAUGAUCAUUCUUUCAUCAGUUUGUUCCCCAUUUCUUCUCUAGUUUGAGCCUAGCACACUAUUCUAGCUAGACAUGGGUGUGGGUCAUAACACCUGAUGACCAAACAGAUCGACGACACCAUCGACUCUCAAACUUUAACUGCCAAAACUAUUGUUUUUCAUCCUGUAGUCCCUUUUAGAAUUACUAAACGUCCUUUUUUGGGCCGAGAUUUCCAAGAACGCUUUCUCGGGGUUUGUGUGCACGUAUUUCAAACCAAACAUUCCUAAAAAUUAGAAGUCAUUCCAUCUUUAUUCCCCUAGAGCCUUCCAGUAGUUCCUAAACAGCUCCAGUCGGAGGACGUUAUCAUUCUUGUUAGUUCUGAGUGAAUUCCCUCGGUAUGAUCAUUCUUUCAUCAGUUUGUUCCCUGUUUCUUCUCUAGUAUGAGCCUCGCACACUAUUCUAGCUAUUAAUGGGUGUGGAUCGUAACACCUGAUGACCAAACGGAUCUACGGCACCAUCGAAUAUCAAACUUUAACUGCCAAAACUAUUGUUUUUCAUUCUGUAGUCCCUUUUAAAUUACUAAAUGUCAUUUUUGGGCUGAGAUAUCCAGGAACGCUUUCUCGGGGUUUGUGUGCAUGUAUUUCAAAUCAUACGGACCUAAAAAUUAGAAGUCAUUCCAUCUUUAUUCCCCUAGAGCCUUCCAGCAGUUCCUAAACCACUCCAGUCGGAACACGUUGUCAUUAUUGUUAGUUCUGAGUGAAUUCCCUCGGUAUGAUCAUUCUUUCAUCAGUUUUUUCCCCGUUUCUUCUAUAGUCUGAGCCUAUCACACUAUUCUAGCUAGACAUGGGUGUGGCACGUAACACCUGAUGACCAAACGGAUCUACGGCACCGUCGAAUCUCAAACUUUAACUGCCAAAACUAUUGUUUUUCAUCCUGUUGUCCCUUUAGAAUUACUAAAUGUCCUUUUUUGGGCCGAGAUUUCCAGGAACGCUUUCUCGGGAUUUGUGUGCAUGUAUUUCAAACCAUACGGACCUACAAAUUAGGUCAUUCCAUCUUUAUUCCCCUAGAGCCUUCCAGCAGUUCCUAAACUGCUCCAGUCGGAGCACGUUAUCAUUCUUGUUUGUUCUCAGCGAAUUCCCUCGGUAUGAUCAUUCUUUCAUCAUUUUGUUCCCCGUUUCUUCUCUAGUCUAAGCCUAGCACACUAUUCUAGCUACACAUGGGUGUGGCUCGUAACACCUGAUGACCAAACGGAUCUACGGCACCGUCGAAUCUCAAACUUUAACUGCCAAAACUAUUGUUUUUCAACCUAUAGUCCCUUUUAAAUUUACUAAACGUCCUUUUUUGGGCUGAGAUUUCCAGGAACGCUUUCGUGCGGUUUGUGUGCAAGUAUUUGAAAUCAUACGGACCUAUAAAUUAGAAGUCAUUUCAUCUUUAUUCCCCUAGAGCCUUCGAGCGGUUCCUAAACCGCUCCAGUCGGAGCAUGUUAUCGUUCUUGUUAGUUCUGAGUGAAUUCCCUCGGUAUGAUCAUUCUUUCAUCAGUUUGUUCCCCAUUUCUUCUCUAGUCUGAGCCUAGCACACUACUCUAGCUAGACAUGGGUUUGGCUUGUAACACCUGAUAACCAAACGGGUCUACGACACCAUCGAAUCUCAAACUUUUUUGGGCCGAGAUUUCCAGGAACGCUUUCUCGGGGUUUGUGUGCACGUAUUUCAAAUCAUGCGGACCUAAAAAUUAGAAGUCAUUCCAUAUUUAUUCCCCUAGAGCCUUCCAGCAGUUCCCAAACCGCUCCAGUCGGAGCAUGUUAUCAUUCUUGUUAGUUCUGAGCGAGUUCCCUCGGUAUGAUCAUUCUUUCAUCAGUUUGUUCCCUGUUUCUUCUCUAGCCUGAGCCUGACACACUAUUAUAGCUAGACAUGGGUGUGGCUCGUGACACCUGAUGACCAAAUGGAUCUACGGCACCGUCGAAUCUCAAACUUUAACUGCCAAAACUAUUGUUUUUCAUCCUGUAGUCCCUUUUAGAAUUACGAAACGUCCUUUUUUGGGCCAUGAUUUCCAGGAAUGCUUUCUUGGGGUUUGUGUGCACGUAUUUCAAACCAUACGGACCUAAAAAUUAGAAGUCAUUCCAUCUUUAUUCCCCUAGAGCCUUCCAGCAGUUCCUAAACUGCUCUAUUUGGAGCAUGUUAUCAUUCUUGUUAGUUCUGAGUGAAUUCCCUCGGUAUGAUCAUUCUUUCAUCAGUUUGUUCCCCGUUUCUUCUCUAGUCUGAGCCUAGCACACUAUUCUAGCUAUUAAUGGGUGUGGAUCGUAACACCUGAUGAGCAAACGGAUCUACGGCACAAUCGAAUCUCAAACUUUAACUGCCAAAACUAUUGUUUUUCAUUCUGUAGUCCCUUUUCGAAUUAUUAAACGUCCUUUUUUGGGCCGAGAUUUCCAGGAACGCUUUCUCGGGGUUUGUGUGCAUGUAUUUCAAAUCAUACGGACCUAAAAAUUAGAAGGCAUUCCAUCUUUAUUCCCCUAGAGCCUUCCAGCAGUUCCUAAACCGCUCCAGUCGGAGCAUGUUAUCAUUCUUGUUAGUUCUGAGCGAAUUCCCUCGGUAUGAUCAUUCUAUCAUCUGUUUGUUCCCUGUUUCUUCGCUAGCCUAAGCCUGACACACUAUUCUAGCUAGACAUGGGUGUGGCUCGUGACACCUAAUGACCAAACGGAUCUACGGCACCCUCGAAUCUCAAACUUUAACUACCAAAACUAUUGUUUUUCAUUCUGUAGUCCCUUUUAGAUUACUAAACAUCCUUUUUUGGGCUGAGAUUUCCAGGAACGCUUUCUCGGGGUUUGUGUGCAUGUAUUUCAAACCAAACGUUCCUAAAAUUAGAAGUCAUUCCAUCUUAAUUCCCCUAGAGCCUUCUAGCAAUUCCUAAACAGCUCUAGUCGGAGCAUGUUAUCAUUCUUGUUAAUUCUGAGCGAAUUCCCUCCGUAUGAUCAUUCUUUCAUCAGUUUGUUCCCCGUUUCUUCUCUAGUCUAAGCCUAGCACACUAGUCUAGCUAGACAUGGGUGUGGCUCGUAACACCUGAUGACCAAACGGAUCUACGGCACCGUCAAAUGUCAAACUUUAACUGCCAAAACUAUUGUUUUUCAUCCUGUAGUCCCUUUUCGAAUUAUUAAACGUCCUUUUUUGGGCCGAGAUUUCCAGGAACGCUUUCUCGGGGUUUGUGUGGAUGUAUUUCAAAUCAUACGGACCUAAAAAUUAGAAGGCAUUCCAUCUUUAUUCCCCUAGAGCCUUCCAGCAGUUCCUANNNNNNNNNNNNNNNNNNNNNNNNNNNNNNNNNNNNNNNNNNNNNNNNNNNNNNNNNNNNNNNNNNNNNNNNNNNNNNNNNNNNNNNNNNNNNNNNNNNNNNNNNNNNNNNNNNNNNNNNNNNNNNNNNNNNNNNNNNNNNNNNNNNNNNNNNNNNNNNNNNNNNNNNNNNNNNNNNNNNNNNNNNNNNNNNNNNNNNNNNNNNNNNNNNNNNNNNNNNNNNNNNNNNNNNNNNNNNNNNNNNNNNNNNNNNNNNNNNNNNNNNNNNNNNNNNNNNNNNNNNNNNNNNNNNNNNNNNNNNNNNNNNNNNNNNNNNNNNNNNNNNNNNNNNNNNNNNNNNNNNNNNNNNNNNNNNNNNNNNNNNNNNNNNNNNNNNNNNNNNNNNNNNNNNNNNNNNNNNNNNNNNNNNNNNNNNNNNNNNNNNNNNNNNNNNNNNNNNNNNNNNNNNNNNNNNNNNNNNNNNNNNNNNNNNNNNNNNNNNNNNNNNNNNNNNNNNNNNNNNNNNNNNNNNNNNNNNNNNNNNNNNNNNNNNNNNNNNNNNNNNNNNNNNNNNNNNNNNNNNNNNNNNNNNNNNNNNNNNNNNNNNNNNNNNNNNNNNNNNNNNNNNNNNNNNNNNNNNNNNNNNNNNNNNNNNNNNNNNNNNNNNNNNNNNNNNNNNNNNNNNNNNNNNNNNNNNNNNNNNNNNNNNNNNNNNNNNNNNNNNNNNNNNNNNNNNNNNNNNNNNNNNNNNNNNNNNNNNNNNNNNNNNNNNNNNNNNNNNNNNNNNNNNNNNNUCGCUAGCCUAAGCCUGACACACUAUUCUAGCUACACAUGGGUGUGGCUCGUGACACCUAAUGACCAAACAGAUCUACGGCACCGUCGAAUCUCAAACUUUAACUACCAAAACUAUUGUUUUUCAUUCUGUAGUCCCUUUUAAAUUACUAAACGUCAUUUUUUGGGCCGAGAUUUCUAGGAACGCUUUCUCGGGGUUUGUGUGCAUGUAUUUCAAGUCAUAUGGACCUAAAAAUUAGAAUCCAUUCCAUCUUUAUUCCCCUAGAGCCUUCCAGCAGUUCCUAAACUGCUCCAGUCGGAGCACAUUAUCAUUAUUGUUAGUUCUGAGUGAAUUCCCUCGGUAUGAUCAUUCUUUCAUCAGUUUGUUCCCCGUUUCUGCUCUACUCUGAGCUUAACACACUAUUCUAGCUAGACAUGGGUGUGGCUCGUAACACCUGAUGACCAAACGGAUCUACGAUACCGUCGAAUCUCAAACUUUGACUACGAAAACUAUUGUUUUUCAUUCUAUAGUCCCUUUUAGAAUUACUAAACGUCCUUUUUUGGGCCGAGAUUUCUAGGAACGCUUUCUCGGGGUUUGUGUGCACGUAUUUCAAACAAUACGGACCUAAAAAUUAGAAUUCAUUCCAUCUUUAUUCCCCUAGAGCCUUCCAGCAGUUCCUAAACCGCUCAAGUCGGAGCACUUUAUCAUUCUUGUUAGUUCUCAGCGAAUUCCCUCGGUAUGAUCAUUCUUUCAUCAGUUUGUUCCCCAUUUCUUCUCUAGCCUGAGCCUAACACACUAUUCUAGCUACACAUGGGUGUGGCUCGUCACACCCGAUGACCAAACGGAUCUACGGCACCGUCGAAUCUCAAACUUUAACUGCCAAAACUAUUGUUUUUCAUCCUGUAGUCCCUUUUAGAAUUACUAAACGUCCUUUUUUGGGUAGAUAUUUCCAGGAACGCUUUAUCGGGGUUUGUGUGCACGUAUUUCAGACCAUACGGACCUAAAAAUUAGAAGUCAUUCCAUCUUUAUUCCCCUAUAGCCUUCCAGCAGUUCCUAAACCGCUCCAGUCGGAGCCCGUUAUCAUUCUUGUUAGUUUUGAGCGAAUUCCCUCGGUAUGAUCAUUCUUUCAUCAGUUUGUUCCCCGUUUCUUCUCUAGUCUAAGCCUAGCACACUAGUUUAGCUAGACAUGGGUGUGGCUCGUAACACCUGAUGGCCAAACGGAUCUACGGCACCGUGAAAUCUCAAACUUUAACUGCCAAAACUGUUGUUUUUCAUCCUGUAGUCCCUUUUAGAAUUACUAAACGUCCUUUUUUGGGCUGAGAUUUCCAGGAACACUUUCUCGGGGUUUGUGUGCAUGUAUUUCAAACCAUAUGGACCUAAAAAUUAGAAGUCAUUCCAUCUUUAUUCCCCUAGAGCCUUCCAACAGUCCCUAAACCGCUCCAGUCCGAGCAUGUUAUCAUUCUUGUUAGUUCUGAGUGAAUUCCCUCGGUAUGAUCAUUCUUUCAUCAGUUUGUUCCCCAUUUCUUCUCUAGUCUGAGCCUAGCUCACUAUUCUAGCUAGACAUGGGUGUGGCUUAUAAUACCUGAUGACCAAACGGAUCUACGGCACCAUCGAAUCUCAAACUUUAACUGCCAAAACUAUUGUUUUUCAUCCUGUAGUCCCUUUUAGAAUUACUAAACGUCCUUUUUUGGGCCGAGAUUUCCAGGAACGCUUUCUCGGGGUUUGUGUGCACGUAUUUCAAACCAAGCGUUCUUAAAAAUUAGAAGUUAUUCCAUCUUUAUUCCCCUAGAGCCUUACAGCAGUUCCUAAACUGCUCCAAUCGGCGCACGUUAUCAUUCUUGUUAGUUCUGAGCGAAUUCCCUCGGUAUGAUCAUUCUUUCAUCAGUUUGUUCCCCGUUUCUUCUCUAGUUUGAGCCUAGCACACUAUUCUAGCUAGACAUGGGUGUGGGUCAUAACACCUGAUGACCAAACAGAUCGACGACACCAUCGAAUCGCAAACUUUAACUGCCAAAACUAUUGUUUUUCAUCCUGUAGUCCCUUUUAGAAUUACUAAACGUCCUUUUUUGGGUCGAGAUUUCCAAGAACGCUUUCUCGGGGUUUGUGUGCACGUAUUUCAAACCAAAAAUUCCUAAAAAUUAGAAGUCAUUCCAUCUUUAUUCCCCUAGAGCCUUCCAGCAGUUCCUAAACAGCUCUAGUCGGAGCACGUUAUCAUUCUUGUUAGUUCUGAGCGAAUUCCCUCGGUAUGAUCAUUCUUUCAUCAGUUUGUUCCCCGUUUCUUCUAUAGUCUGAGCCUAUCACACUAUUCUAGCUAGACAUGGGUGUGGCUCGUAACACCUGAUGACCAAACGGAUCUACGGCACCAUCAAAUCUAAAACUUUAACUGCCAAAACUAUUGUUUUUCAUCCUGUAGUCCCUUUAGAACUACUAAAUGUCCUUUUUUGGGCCGAUAUUUCCAGGAACGCUUUCUCGGGGUUUGUGUGCAUGUAUUUCAAACCAUACGGACCUAAAAAUUAGGUCAUUCCAUCUUUAUUCCCCUAGAGCCUUCCAGCAGUUCCUAAACCGCUCCAGUCGGAGCAUGUUAUCAUUCUUGUUUGUUCUGAGUGAAUUCCCUCAGUAUGAUCAUUCUUUCAUCAUUUUGUUCCCCGUUUCUUCUCUAGUCUGAGCCUAGCACACUAUUCUAGCUAGACAUGGGUGUGGCUCGUAACACCUGACCAAACGGAUCUACGGCACCGUCGAAUCUCAAACUUUAACUGCCAAAACUAUUGUUUUUCAUCCUGUAGUCCCUUUUAAAUUUAAUAAACGUCCUUUUUUUGGGCUGAGAUUUCCAGGAACGCUUUCGUGCGGUUUGUGUGCAAGUAUUUCAAAUCAUACAGACCUAUAAAUUAGAAGUCAUUUCAUCUUUAUUCCCCUAGAGCCUUCGAGCGGUUCCUAAACCGCUCAAGUCGGAGCAUGUUAUCAUUCUUGUUAGUUCUGAGUGAAUUCCCUCGGUAUGAUCAUUCUUUCAUCAGUUUGUUCCCCAUUCCUUCUCUAGUCUGAGCCUAGCACACUACUCUAGCUAGACAUGGGUUUGGCUCGUAACACCUGAUAACCAAACGGGUCUACGACACCAUCGAAUCUCAAACUUUUUUGGGCCAAGAUUUCCAGGAACGCUUUCUCGGGGUUUGUGUGCACGUAUUUCAAAUCAUGCGGACCUAAAAAUUAGAAGUCAUUCCAUAUUUAUUCCCCUAGAGCCUUCCAGCAGUUCCUAAACCGCUCCAGUUGGACCACGUUAUCAUUCUUGUUAGUUCUGAGUGAAUUACCUCGGUAUGAUCAUUCUUUCAUCAGUUUGUUCCCCGUUUCUUCUAUAGUCUGAGCCUAGCACACUACUCUAGCUAGACAUGGGAGUGGCUCGUAACACCUGAUGACCAAACAGAUCUAUGGCACCGUCGAAUCUCAAACUUUAACUACCAAAACUAUUGUUUUUCAUCCUGUAGUCCCUUUUAGAAUUACUAAAUGUCAUUUUUUGGGCUGAGAUUUCCAGGAACGCUUUCGCGGGGUUUGUGUGCACGUAUUUCAAACCAUAGGGACCUAAAAAUUAGAAGUCAUUCCAUCUUUAUUCCCCUAGAGCCUAACACACUAUUCUAGCUAGACAUGGGUGUGGCUCGUAACACCUGAUGACCAAACGGAUCUACGGCACCAUCGAAUCUCAAACUUUAACUGCCAAAAUUAUUGUAUUUCAUCCUGUAGUCCCUUUUAGAAUUAUUAAACGUCCUUUUUUUGGGCUGUGAUUUCCAUGAACGCUUUCUCGGGGUUUCUGUGCACGUAUUUCAAAUCAUACAGACCUAAAAAUUAGAAGUCAUUCCAUCUUUAUUCCCCUAGAGCCUUCCAACAGUUCCUAAACCGCUCCAGUCGGAGCACAUUAUCAUUCUUGUUAGUUCUGAGUGAAUUCCCAUGGUAUGAUCAUUCUUUCAUUAGUUUGUUCCCCGUUUCUUCUCUAGUCUGAGCCUACCACACUAUUCCAGCUAGACAUGGGUGUGGCUCAUAACACCUUAUGACCAAACGGAUCUACGGCACCAUCGAAUCUCAAACUUUAACCGCCAAAACUAUUGUUUUUCAUCCUGUAGUCCCUUUUAGAAUUACUAAACGUCCUUCUUUGGGUAGAGAUUUCCAGGAAUGCUUUAUCGGGGUUUGUGUGCACGUAUUUCAGACCAUACGGACCUAAAAAUUAGAAGUCAUUCCAUCUUUAUUCCCCUAGAGCCUUCCAACAGUUCCUGAACCGCUCCAGUCGGAGCAUGUUAUCAUUCUUGUUAGUUCUGAGCGAAUUCCCUCGGUAUGAUCAUUCUUUCAUCAGUUUGUUUCCCGUUUCUUCUCUAGUCUGAGCCUAGCACACUACUCUAGCUAGACAUUGGUGUGGCUCGUAACACCUGAUGACCAAACGGAUCUACGGCACCGUCAAAUCUCAAACUUUAACUGCCAAAACUAUUGUUUUUCAUCCUGUAGUCCCUUUUAGAAUUACUAAACGUCCUUUUUUGGGCCGAUAUUUCCAGGAACGCUUUCUUGGGGUUUGUGUGCAUGUAUUUCAAACCAUAUGGAACUAAAAAUUACAAGUCAUUCCAUCUUUAUUCCACUAGAGCCUUCCAGCAGUUCCUAAACCGCUCCAAUCGGAGCAUGUUAUCAUUCUUGUUAAUUCUGAGUGAAUUCCCUUGGUAUGAUCAUUCUUUCAUCAGUUUGUUCCCGAUUUCUUCUCCAGUCUGAGCCUAGCUCACUAUUCUAGCUAGACAUGGGUGUGGCUCAUAAUACCUGAUGACCAAACGGAUCUACGACACCAUCGAAUCUCAAACUUUAACUGCCAAAACUAUUGUUUUUCAUCUUGUAGUCCCUUUUAGAAUUACUAAAAGUCCUUUAUUGGGCCGAGAUUUCCAGGAACGCUUUAUCGGGGUUUGUGUGCUCGUAUUUCAGACCAUACGGACCUAAAAAUUAGAACUCAUUCCAUCUUUAUUCCCCUAGAGCCUUCCAGCAGCUCCUAAACCGCUCCAGUCGGAGCACGUUAUCAUUCUUGUUAGUUCUGAGCAAAUUCCCUCGUUAUGAUCAUUCUUUCAUCAGUUUGUUCCCCGUUCCUUCUCUGGUCUGAGCCUAGCACACUAUUCUAGCUAUUAAUGGGUGUGGAUCGUAACACUUGAUGAUCAAACAGAUCUACGGCACCAUCGAUUCUCAAACUUUAACUGCCAAAACUAUUGUUUUUCAUCCCGUAGUCCCUUUUAGAAUUAUUAAACGUCCUUUUUUGGGCCGAGAUUUCUAGGAACGCUGCCUCGGGGUUUUUGUGCACGUAUUUCAAAUCAUACGGACCUGAAAAUUAGAAGUCAUUCCAUCUUUAUUCCCCUAGAGCCUUCCAGCAGUUCCUAAACCGCUCCAGUUGGACCACGUUAUCAUUCUUGUUAGUUCUGAGUGAAUUACCUUAGUAUGAUCAUUCUUUCAUCAGUUUGUUCCCUGUUUCUUCUAUAGUCUGAGCCUAGCACACUACUCUAGCUAGACAUGGGUGUGGCUCGUAACACCUGAUGACCAAACAGAUCUACGACACCGUCGAAUCUCAAACUUUAACUGCCAAAACUAUUGUUUUUCAUCCUGUAGACCCUUUUAGAAUUACUAAACGUCCUUUUUUGGGCUGAGAUUUCCAGGAACGCUUUCACGGGGUUUGUGUGCACGUAUUUUAAACCAUAUGGACCUAAAAAUUAGAAGUCAUUCCAUCUUUAUUCCCAGAGAGCCUAACACACUAUUCUAGCUAGAUAUGGGUGUGGCUCGUAACACCUGAUGACCAAACGGAUCUACGGCACCAUCGAAUCUCAAACUUUAACUGCCAAAACUAUUGUAUUUCAUCAUGUAGUCCCUUUUAGAAUUAUUAAACGUCCUUUUUUAGGGCCGUGAUUUCCAUGAACGCUUUCUUGGGGUUUCUGUGCAUGUAUUUCAAAUCAUACGGACCUAAAAAUUAGAAGUCAUUCCAUCUUUAUUCCCCUAGAGCCUUCCAGCAGUUCCUAAACCGCUUCAGUCGGAGCACGUUAUCAUUCUUGUUAGUUCUGAGUGAAUUCCCUUGGUAUGAUCAUUCUUUCAUCAGUUUGUUCCCCGUUUCUUCUCUAGUCUGAGCCUAGCACACUAUUCUAGCUAGACAUGGGUGUGGCUCAUAACACCUUAUGACCAAACGGAUCUACGGCACCAUCGAAUCUCAAACUUUAACUGCCAAAACUAUUGUUUUUCAUCCUGUAGUCCCUUUUAGAAUUACUAAACGUCCUUUUUUGGGCAGAUAUUUCCAGGAACGCUUUAUCGAGGUUUGUGUGCUCGUAUUUCAGACCAUACGGACCUAAAAAUUAGAACUCAUUCCAUCUUUAUUCCCCUAUAGCCUUCCAGCAAUUCUGAAACCACUCCAGUCGGAGCACGUUAUCAUUCUUGUUAGUUCUAAAAGAAUUCCCUCGGUAUGAUCAUUCUUUCAUCAGUUUAUUUCCCGUUUCUUCUCUAGUCUAAGCCUAGCACACUAGUCUAGCUAGACAUGGGUGUGGCUCGUAACACCUGAUGACCAAACGGAUCUACGGCACCGUCAAAUCUCAAACUUUAACUGCCANNNNNNNNNNNNNNNNNNNNNNNNNNNNNNNNNNNNNNNNNNNNNNNNNNNNNNNNNNNNNNNNNNNNNNNNNNNNNNNNNNNNNNNNNNNNNNNNNNNNNNNNNNNNNNNNNNNNNNNNNNNNNNNNNNNNNNNNNNNNNNNNNNNNNNNNNNNNNNNNNNNNNNNNNNNNNNNNNNNNNNNNNNNNNNNNNNNNNNNNNNNNNNNNNNNNNNNNNNNNNNNNNNNNNNNNNNNNNNNNNNNNNNNNNNNNNNNNNNNNNNNNNNNNNNNNNNNNNNNNNNNNNNNNNNNNNNNNNNNNNNNNNNNNNNNNNNNNNNNNNNNNNNNNNNNNNNNNNNNNNNNNNNNNNNNNNNNNNNNNNNNNNNNNNNNNNNNNNNNNNNNNNNNNNNNNNNNNNNNNNNNNNNNNNNNNNNNNNNNNNNNNNNNNNNNNNNNNNNNNNNNNNNNNNNNNNNNNNNNNNNNNNNNNNNNNNNNNNNNNNNNNNNNNNNNNNNNNNNNNNNNNNNNNNNNNNNNNNNNNNNNNNNNNNNNNNNNNNNNNNNNNNNNNNNNNNNNNNNNNNNNNNNNNNNNNNNNNNNNNNNNNNNNNNNNNNNNNNNNNNNNNNNNNNNNNNNNNNNNNNNNNNUCAUCAGUUUGUUCCCCAUUUCUUCUCUAGUCUGAGCCUAGCUCACUAUUCUAGCUAGACAUGGGUGUGGCUCGUAAUACCUGAUGACCAAAUGGAUCUACGGCACCAUCGAAUCUCAAACUUUUACUGCCAAAACUAUUGUUUUUCAUCCUGUAGUCCCUUUUAGAAUUACUAAACGUCCUUUUUUGGGCCGAGAUUUCCAGGAACGCUUUCUUGGGGUUUGUGUGCACGUAUUUGAAACCAAGCGUUCCUAAAAAUUAGAAGUCAUUCCAUCUUUAUUCCCCUAGAGCCUUACAGCAGUUCCUAAACUGCUCCAGUCGGCGCACGUUAUCAUUCUUGUUAGUUCUGAGUGAAUUCCCUCGGUAUGAUCAUUCUUUCAUCAGUUUGUUCCCCGUUUCUUCUCUAGUCUGAGCCUACCACACUAUUCUAGCUAGACAUGGGUGUGGCUCAUAACACCUUAUGACCAAACGGAUCUACGGCACCAUCGAAUCUCAAACUUUAACUGCCAAAACUAUUGUUUUUCAUCCUGUAGUCCUUUUUACAAUUACUAAACGUCCUUUUUUGGGCAGAUAUUUCCAGGAAUGCUUUAUCGGGGUUUGUGUGCACGUAUUUCAGACCAUACGGACCUAAAAAUUAGAAGUCAUUCCAUCUUUAUUUUCCUAUAGCCUUCCAGCAGUUCCUAAACCACUCCAGUCGGAGCACGUUAUCAUUCUUGUUAGUUCUGAGCGAAUUCCCUCGGUAUGAUCAUUCUUUCAUCAGUUUAUUCCCCGUUUCUUCUCUAGUCUAAGCCUAGCACACUAGUCUAGCUAGACAUGGGUGUGGCUCGUAACACCUGAUGACCAAACGGAUCUACGGCACCGUCAAAUCUCAAACUUUAACUGCCAAAACUAUUGUUUUUCAUCCUGUAGUCCCUUUUAGAAUAACUAAACGUCCUUUUUUGGGCCGAGAUUUUCGGGAACACUUUCUCGGGGUUUGUGUGCAUGUAUUUCAAACCAUAUGGACCUAAAAAUUAGAAGUCAUUCCAUCUUUAUUCCCCUAGAGCCUUCCAGCAGUUCCUAAACCGCUCCAGUCGGAGCAUGUUAUCAUUCUUGUUAGUUCUGAGUGAAUUCCCUCGGUACGAUCAUUCUUUCAUCAGUUUGUUCCCCAUUUCUUCUCUAGUCUGAGCCUAGCUCACUAUUCUAGCUAGACAUGGGUGUGGCUCAUAAUACCUGAUGACCAAACGGAUCUACGGCACUAUCGAAUCUCAAACUUUAACUGCCAAAACUAUUGUUUUUCAUCCUGUAGUCCCUUUUAGAAUUACUAAACGUCCUUUUUUGGGCCGAGAUUUCCAGGAACGCUUUCUUGGGGUUUGUGUGCACGUAUUUCAAACCAAGCGUUCCUAAAAAUUAGAAGUCAUUCCAUCUUUAUUCCCCUAGAGCCUUACAGCAGUUCCUAAACUGCUCCAGUCGGCGCACGUUAUCAUUCUUGUUAGUUCUGAGCGAAUUCCCUCGGUAUGAUCAUUCUUUCAUCAGUUUGUUCCCCAGUUCUUCUCUAGUUUGAGCCUAGCACACUAUUCUAGCUAGACAUGGGUGUGGGUCAUAACACCUGAUGACCAAACAGAUCGACGGCACCAUCGACUCUCAAACUUUAACUGCCAAAACUAUUGUUUUUCAUCCUGUAGUCCCUUUUAGAAUUACUAAACGUCCUUUUUUGGGCUGAGAUUUCCAAGAACGCUUUCUCGUGGUUUGUGUGCAUGUAUUUCAAACCAAACAUUCCUAAAAAUUAGAAGUCAUUCCAUCUUUAUUCCCCUAGAGCCUUCCAGUAGUUCCUAAACAGCUCCAGUCGGAGCACGUUAUCAUUCUUGUUAGUUCUGAGCGAAUUCCCUCGGUAUGAUCAUUCUUUCAUCAGUUUGUUCCCUGUUUCUUCUCUAGUAUGAGCCUCGCACACUAUUCUAGCUAUUAAUGGGUGUGGAUCGUAACACCUGAUGACCAAACGGAUCUACGGCACCAUCGAAUCUCAAACUUUAACUGCCAAAACUAUUGUUUUUCAUUCUGUAGUCCCUUUUAAAUUACUAAACGUCAUUUUUGGGCUGAGAUAUCCAGGAACGCUUUCUCGGGGUUUGUGUGCACGUAUUUCAAAUCAUACGGACCUAAAAAUUCGAAGUCAUUCCAUCUUUAUUCCCCUAGAGCCUUCCAGCAGUUCCUAAACCACUCCAGUCGGAACACGUUGUCAUUAUUGUUAGUUCUGAGUGAAUUCCCUCGGUAUGAUCAUUCUUUCAUCAGUUUUUUCCCCGUUUCGCCUAUCACACUAUUCUAGCUAGACAUGGGUGUGGCUCGUAACACCUGAUGACCAAACGGAUCUACGGCACCGUCGAAUCUCAAACUUUAACUGCCAAAACUAUUGUUUUUCAUCCUGUUGUCCCUUUAGAAUUACUAAAUGUCCUUUUUUGGGCCGAGAUUUCCAGGAACGCUUUCUCGGGGUUUGUGUGCAUGUAUUUCAAACCAUACGAACCUAAAAAUUAGGUCAUUCCAUCUUUAUUCCCCUAGAGCCUUCCAGCAGUUCCUAAACCGCUGCAGUCGGAGCACGUUAUCAUUCUUGUUUGUUCUGAGCGAAUUCCCUCAGUAUGAUCAUUCUUUCAUCAUUUUGUUCCCCGUUUCUUCUCUAGUCUAAGCCUAGCACACUAUUCUAGCUAGACAUGGGUGUGGCUCGUAACACCUGAUGACCAAACGGAUCUACGGCACCGUCGAAUCUCAAACUUUAACUGCCAAAACUAUUGUUUUUCAUCCUAUAGUCCCUUUUAAAUUUACUAAACGUCCUUUUUUGGGCUGAGAUUUCCAGGAACGCUUUCGUGCGGUUUGUGUGCAACUAUUUCAAAUCAUACAGACCUAUAAAUUAGAAGUCAUUUCAUCUUUAUUCCCCUAGAGCCUUCGAGCGGUUCCUAAACCACUCCAGUCGGAGCAUGUUAUCAUUCUUGUUAGUUCUGAGUGAAUUCCCUCGGUAUGAUCAUUCUUUCAUCAGUUUGUUCCCCAUUUCUUCUCUAGUCUGAGCCUAGCACACUACUCUAGCUAGACAUGGGUUUGGCUCGUAACACCUGAUAACCAAACGGGUCUACGACACCAUCGAAUCUCAAACUUUUUUGGGCCGAGAUUUCCAGGAACGCUUUCUCGGGGUUUGCGUGCACGUAUUUCAAGUCACGCGGACCUAAAAAUUAGAAGUCAUUCCAUAUUUAUUCCCCUAGAGCCUUCCAGCAGUUCCCAAACCGCUCCAGUCGGAGCAUGUUAUCAUUCUUGUUAGUUCUGAGCGAAUUCCCUCGGUAUGAUCAUUCUUUCAUCAGUUUGUUCCCUGUUUCUUCUCUAGACUGAGCCUGACACACUAUUCUAGCUAGACAUGGGUGUGGCUCGUGACACCUGAUGACCAAAUGGAUCUACGGCACCGUCGAAUCUCAAACUUUAACUGCCAAAACUAUUGUUUUUCAUCCUGUAGUCCCUUUUAGAAUUACGAAACGUCCUUUUUUGGGCCAAGAUUUCGAGGAAUGCUUUCUCGGGGUUUGUGUGCACGUAUUUCAAACCAUACGGACCUAAAAAUUAGAAGUCAUUCCAUCUUUAUUCCCCUAGAGCCUUCCAGCAGUUCCUAAACUGCUCUAUUUGGAGCAUGUUAUCAUUCUUGUUAGUUCUGAGUGAAUUCCCUCGGUAUGAUCAUUCUUUCAUCAGUUUGUUCCCCGUUUCUUCUCUAGUCUGAGCCUAGCACACUAUUCUAGCUAUUAAUGGGUGUGGAUCGUAACACCUGAUGACCAAACGGAUCUACGGCACCAUCGAAUCUCAAACUUUAACUGCCAAAACUAUUGUUUUUCAUUCUGUAGUCCCUUUUCGAAUUAUUAAACGUCCUUUUUUGGGUCGAGAUUUCCAGGAACGCUUUCUUGGGGUUUGUGUGCAUGUAUUUCAAAUCAUACGGACCUAAAAAUUAGAAGGCAUUCCAUCUUUAUUCCCCUAGAGCCUUCCAGCAGUUCCUAAACCGCUCCAGUCGGAGCAUGUUAUCAUUCUUGUUAGUUUUGAGCGAAUUCCCUCGGUAUGAUCAUUCUAUCAUCUGUUUGUUCCCUGUUUCUUCGCUAGCCUAAGCCUGACACACUAUUCUAGCUAGACAUGGGUGUGGCUCGUGACACCUAAUGACCAAACGGAUCUACGGCACCCUCGAAUCUCAAACUUUAACUACCAAAACUAUUGUUUUUCAUUCUGUAGUCCCUUUUAGAUUACUAAACAUCCUUUUUUGGGCUGAGAUUUCCAGGAACGCUUUCUCGAGGUUUGUGUGCAUGUAUUUCAAACCAAACGUUCCUAAAAUUAGAAGUCAUUCCAUCUUUAUUCCCCUAGAGCCUUCUAGCAGUUCCUAAACAGCUCUAGUCGGAGCAUGUUAUCAUUCUUGUUAAUUCUGAGCGAAUUCCCUCCGUAUGAUCAUUCUUUCAUCAGUUUGUUCUCUGUUUCUGCUCUAGUCUGAGCCUAGCACACUAUUCUAGCUAUUAAUGGGUGUGUAUCGUAACACCUAAUGACCAAACGGAUCUACGACACCAUCGAAUCUCAAACUUUAACUGCCAAAACUAUUGUUUUUCAUCCUGUAGUCCCUUUUCGAAUUAUUAAACGUCCUUUUUUGGGCCGAGAUUUCCAGGAACGCUUUCUCGGGGUUUGUGUGGAUGUAUUUCAAAUCAUACGGACCUAAAAAUUAGAAGGCAUUCCAUCUUUAUUCCCCUAGAGCCUUCCAGCAGUUCCUAAACCGCUCCAGUCGGAGCAUGUUAUCAUUCUUGUUAGUUCUGAGCGAAUUCCCUCGGUAUGAUCAUUCUAUCAUCAGUUUGUUCCCUGUUUCUUCGCUAGCCUAAGCCUGACACACUAUUCUAGCUACACAUGGGUGUGGCUCGUGACACCUAAUGACCAAACAGAUCUACGGCACCGUCGAAUCUCAAACUUUAACUACCAAAACUAUUGUUUUUCAUUCUGUAGUCCCUUUUAAAUUACUAAACGUCAUUUUUUGGGCCGAGAUUUCUAGGAACGCUUUCUCAGGGUUUGUGUGCAUGUAUUUCAAGUCAUAUGGACCUAAAAAUUAGAAUCCAUUCCAUCUUUAUUCCCCUAGAGCCUUCCAGCAGUUCCUAAACCGCUCCAGUCGGAGCACAUUAUCAUUAUUGUUAGUUCUGAGUGAAUUCCCUCGGUAUGAUCAUUCUUUCAUCAGUUUGUUCCCCGUUUCUGCUCUAGUCUGAGCUUAACACACUAUUCUAGCUAGACAUGGGUGUGGCUCGUAACACCUGAUGACCAAACGGAUCUACGAUACCGUCGAAUCUCAAACUUUAACUACGAAAACUAUUGUUUUUCAUUCUAUAGUCCCUUUUAGAAUUACUAAACGUCCUUUUUUGGGCCGAGAUUUCCAGGAACGCUUUCUCGGGGUUUGUGUGCACGUAUUUCAAACAAUACGGACCUAAAAAUUAGAAUUCAUUCCAUCUUUAUUCCCCUAGAGCCUUCCGGCAGUUCCUAAACCGCUCAAGUCGGAGCACUUUAUCAUUCUUGUUAGUUCUCAGCGAAUUCCCUCGGUAUGAUCAUUCUUUCAUCAGUUUGUUCCCCAUUUCUUCUCUAGCCUGAGCCUAACACACUAUUCUAGCUACAAAUGGGUGUGGCUCGUCACACCCGAUGACCAAACGGAUCUACGGCACCGUUGAAUCUCAAACUUUAACUGCGAAAACUAUUGUUUUUCAUCCUGUAGUCCUUUUUAGAAUUACUAAACGUCCUUUUUUGGGACGAGAUUUCCGGGAACGCUUUCUCGAGGUUUGUGUGCGCGUAUUUCAAACCAUACGAACCUUAAAAUUAGAAUUCAUUCCAUCUUUAUUCCCCUAGAGCCUUCCAGCAGUUCCUAAACCGCUCCAGUCGGAGCACGUUAUCAUUCUUGUUAGUUCUGAGCGAAUUCCCUCGGUAUGAUCAUUCUUUCAUCAGUUUGUUCCUUGUUGCUUCUCUAGCCUGAGCCUGAUACACUAUUCUAGCUAGACAUGGGUGUGGCUCGUGACACCUGAUAACCAAACGGAUCUACAGCACCGUCGAAUCUCAAACUUUAACUACCAAAACUAUUGUUUUCAUUCUGUAGUCCCUUUUAAAUUACUAAACGUCAUUUUUUCGGCCGAGAUUUCCAGGAACGCUUUCUUGGGGUUUGUGUGCAUGUAUUUCAAAUCAUAAGGACCUAAAAAUUAGAAUCCAUUCCAUCUUUAUUUCCCUAGAGCCUUCCAGCAGUUCCUAAACCGCUCCAGUCAGAGCAUGUUAUCAUUAUUGUUAGUUCUGAGUGAAUUCCCUCGGUAUGAUCAUUAUUUCAUCAGUUUGUUCCCCGUUUCUUCUCUAGUCUGAGCCUAACACACUAUUCUAGCUAGACAUGGGUGUGGCUCGUAACACCCGAUGACCAAACGGAUCUACGGCACCGUCGAAUCUCAAACUUUAACUGCGAAAACUAUUGUUUUUCAUCCUUUAGUCCUUUUUAGAAUUACUAAACGUCCUUUUUUGGGACGAGAUUUCCAGGAACGCUUUCUCGGGGUUUGUGUGCGCGUAUUUAAAACCAUACGAACCUUAAAAUUAGAAUUCAUUCCAUCUUUAUUCCCCUAGAGCCUUCCAGUAGUUCCUAAACCGCUCCAGUCGGAGCACCUUAUCAUUCUUGUUAGUUCUGAGCAAAUUCCCUCGGUAUGAUCAUUCUUUCAUCAGUUUGAUCCCCGUUUCUUCUCUAGUCUGAGCCUAGCACACUAUUCUAGCUAUUAAUGGGUGUGGAUCGUAACACCUAAUGACCAAACGGAUCUACGUCACCAUCGAAUCUCAAACUUUAACUACCAAAACUAUUGUUUUUCAUCCUGUAGUCCCUUAAAAUUAGAAUUCAUUCCAUCUUUAUUCCCCUAGAGCCUUCCAGUAGUUCCUAAACCGCUCCAGUCGGAGCACAUUAUCAUUCUUGUUUGUUCUAAGCGAAUUCCCUCAGUAUGAUCAUUCUUUCAUCAUUUUGUUCCCGGUUUCUUCUCUAGUCUGAGUCUAGCACACUAUUCUAGCUAGACAUGGGUGUGGCUCGUAACACCUGAUGACCAAACGGAUCUACGGCAUCGUCGAAUCUCAAACUUUAAUUGCCAAAACUAUUGUUUUUCAUCCUGUAGUCUCUUUUAAAUUUACUAAACGUCCUUUUUUGGGCUGAGAUUUCCUGGAACGCUUUCGUGCGGUUUGUGUGCAAGUAUUUCAAAUCAUACGGACCUAUAAAUUAGAAGUCAUUUCAUCUUUAUUCCCCUAGAGCCUUUGAGCGGUUCCUAAACCGCUCUAGUCGGAGCAUGUUAUCAUUCUUGUUAGUUCUGAGUGAAUUCCCUCGGUAUGAUAAUUCUUUCAUCAGUUUGUUCCCCGUUUCUUCUCUAGUCUGAGCCUAGCACACUACUCUAGCUAGACAUGGGUUUGGCUCGUAACACCUGAUAACCAAACGGGUCUACGACACCAUCGAAUCUCAAACUUUUUUGGGCCGAGAUUUCCAGGAACGCUUUCUCGGGGUUUGUGUGCACGUAUUUCAAAUCAUGCGGACCUAAAAAUUAGAAGUCAUUCCAUAUUUAUUCCCCUAGAGCCUUCCAGCAGUUCCUAAACCGCUCCAGUCCGAGCAUGUUAUCAUUCUUGUUAGUUCUCAGGGAAUUCCCUCGGUAUGAUCAUUCUUUCAUCAGUUUGUUCCCCGUUUUUUCUCUAGCCUGAGCCUAACACACUAUUCUAGCUACACAUGGGUGUCGCUCGUAACACCUGAUGACCGAACAGAUCUACGGCACCAUCGAAUCUCAAACUUUAACUGCCAAAACUAUUGUUUUUCAUCCUGUAGUCCCUUUUAGAAUUACUAAACGUCUUUUUUUGGGCCGAGAUUUCCAGGAACGCUUUCUCGGGGUUUGUGUGGACGUAUUUCAAACCAUACGGACCUAAAAAUUAGAAGUCAUUCCAUCUUUAUUCCCCUAGAGCUUUCCAGCAGUUGCUAAACUGCUCUAGUCGGAGCAUGUUAUCAUUCUUGUUAGUUCUGAGUGAAUUCCCUCGGUAUGAUCAUUCUUUCAUCAGUUUGUUCCCCGUUUCUUCUCUAGUCUGAGCCUAGCACACUAUUCUAGAUAGACAUGGGUGUGGGUCAUAACACCUAAUGACCAAACGGAUCUACGGCACCCUCGAAUCUCAAACUUUAACUGCCAAAACUAUUGUUUUUCAUCUUGUAGUCCCUUUUAGAAUUACUAAACGUCCUUUUUUGGGUCGAGAUUUCCAGGAACGCUUUCUCGGGAUUUGUGUGCAUGUAUUUCAAACCAAAUGUUCCUACAAAUUAGAAGUCAUUCCAUAUUUAUUCCCCUAGAGCCUGCCAGCAGUUCCUAAACACCUCUAGUCGGAGCACGUUAUCAUUCUUGUUAGUUCUGAGCGAAUUCCCUCGGUAUGAUCAUUCUUUCAUCAGUUUGUUCUGCGUUUCUUCUCUAGUCUGAGCCUAGCACAUUAUUCUAGCUAUUAAUGGGUGUGGAUCGUAACACCUAAUGACCAAACGGAUCUACGGCACCAUCGAAUCACAAACUUUAACUGCCAAAACUAUUGUUUUUCAUCCUGUAGUCCCUUUUUGAAUUAUUAAACGUCCUUUUUUGGGCCAAGAUUUCCAGGAAUGCUUUCUCGGGGUUUGUGUGCAUGUAUUUCAAAUCAUACGGACCUAAAAAUUAGAAGGCAUUCCAUCUUUAUUCCCCUAGAGCCUUCCAGCAGUUCCUAAACCGCUCCAGUCGGAGCAUGUUAUCAUUCUUGUUAGUUCUGAGCGAAUUCCCUUGGUAUGAUCAUUCUUUCAUCAGUUUGUUCCCUGUUUCUUCUCUAGCCUGAGCCUGACACACUAUUCUAGCUAGACAUGGGUGUGGCUCGUGACACCUAAUGACCAAACGGAUCUACGGCACCGUCGAAUCUCAAACUUUAACUACCGAAACUAUUGUUUUUCAUUCUAUAGUCCCUUUUAAAUUACUAAACGUCAUUUUUUGGGCCGUGAUUUCCAGGAACGCUUUCUCGGGGUUUGUGUGCAUGUAUUUCAAGUCAUACGGACCUAAAAAUUAGAAUCCAUUCCAUAUUUAUUCCCCUAGAGCCUUCCAGCAGUUCCUAAACCGCUCCAAUUGGAGCACGUUAUCAUUAUUGUUAGUUCUGAGUGAAUUCCCUCGGUAUGAUCAUUCUUUCAUCAGUUUGUUCCCCAUUUCUUCUCUAGUCUGAGCCUAACACACUAUUCUAGCUAGACAUGGGUGUGGGUCGUAACACCUGAUGACCAAAAGGAUCUACGGCACCGUCGAAUCUCAAACUUUAACUACGAAAACUAUUGUUUUUCAUUCUAUAGUCCCUUUUAGAAUUACUAAACGUCCUUUUUUGGGCCGAGACUUCCAGGAACGCUUUCUCGGGGUUUGUGUGCGCGUAUUUCAAACAAUACAGACCUAAAUAUUAGAAUUCAUUCCAUCUUUAUUCCCCUAGAGCCUUCCAGCAGUUCCUAAACUGCUCCAGUCGGAGCACGUUAUCAUUCUUGUUAGUUCUCAGGGAAUUCCCUCGGUAUGAUCAUUCUUUCAUCAGUUUGUUCCCCGUUUCUUCUCUAGCCCGAGCCUAACACACUAUUCUAGCUACACAUGGGUGUGGCUCAUAACACCUGAUGACCAAACGGAUCUACGGCACCGUCGAAUCUCAAACUUUAACUGCCAAAACUAUUGUUUUUCAUCCUGUAGUCCCUUGUAGAAUUACUAAACGUCCUUUUUUGGGCCGAGAUUUCGAGGAACGCUUUGUCGGGGUCUGUGUGCAUGUAUUUCAAACCAUACGGACCUAAAAAUUAGAAUUCAUUCUAUCUUUGUUCCCCUAGAGCCUUCCAGCAGUUCCUAAACCGCUCUAGUCAGAGCAUGUUAUCAUUCUUGUUAGUUCUGAGCGAAUUCCCUCGGUAUGAUCAUUCUUUCAUCAGUUUGUUCCCUAUUUCUUCUCUAGCCUGAGCCUGACACACUAUUCUAGCUAGACAUGGGUGUGGCUCGUGACACCUGAUGACCAAACGGAUCUACGACACCGUCGAAUCUCAAACUUUAACUACUAAAACUAUUGUUUUUCAUUCUAUAGUCCCUUUUAAAUUACUAAACGUCAUUUUUUUGUUCGAGAUUUGCAGGAACGCUUUCUUGGGGUUUGUGUGCAUGUAUUUCAAAUCAUACGGACCUAAAAAUUAGAAUCCAUUCCAUCUUUAUUCCCCUAGAGCCUUCCAGCAGUUCGUUAACCGCUCCAGUCGGAGCACGUUAUCAUUAUUGUUAGUUCUGAGUGAAUUCCCUCGGUAUGAUCAUUCUUUGAUCAGUUUGUUCCUCGUUUCUUCUCUAGUCUAAGCCUAACACACUAUUCUAGCUAGACAUGGGUGUGGCUCGUAACACCCGAUGACCAAACGGAUCUACGGCACCGUCGAAUCUCAAACUUUAACUGCGAAAACUAUUGUUUUUCAUCCCGUAGUCCUUUUUAGAAUUACUAAACAUCCUUUUUUGGGACGAGAUUUCCAGGAACGCUUUCUCGGGGUUUGUGUGCGCGUGUUUCAAACCAUACGGACCUUAAAAUUAGAAUUCAUUCCAUCUUUAUUCCCCUAGAGCCUUCCAGCAGUUCCUAAACCGCUCCAGUCGGAGCACGUUAUCAUUCUUGUUAGUUCUGAGCAAAUUCCCUCGGUAUGAUCAUUCUUUCAUCAGUUUGUUCCCUGUUUCUUCUCUAGUAUGAGCCUAGCACACUAUUCUAGCUAUUAAUGGGUGUGUAUCGUGACACCUAAUGACCAAACGGAUCUACGGCACCAUCGAAUAUCAAACUUUAACUGCCAAAACUAUUGUUUUUCAUACUGUAGUCCCUUUUACAAUUAUUGAACGUCCCUUUUUGGGCCGAUAUUUCUAGGAACGCUUUCUCGGGGUUUGUGUGCAUGUAUUUCAAACCAAACGUUCCUUAAAAUUUGAAAGCAUUCCAUGUUUAUUCCCCUAGAGCCUUCCAGCAGUUCCUAAACCGCUCCAGUCGGAGCACGUUAUCAUUCUUGUCAGUUCUGAGCGAAUUCCCUCGGUAUGAUCAUUUUUUCAUCAGUUUGUUCCCUAUUUCUUCACUAGUCUGAGCCUCGCACACUAUUCUAGCUAUUAAUGGGUGUGGAUCGUAACACCUGAUGACCAAACGGAUCUACGGCACCGUCGAAUCUCAAACUUUAAUUGCCAAAACUAUUGUUUUUCAUUCUGUAGUCCCUUUUAAAUUACUAAACGUCAUUUUUUGGGCUGAGAUAUCCAACAACGCUUUCUCGGGGUUUGUGUGCAUGUAUUUCAAACCAAACGUUCCUAAAAAUUAGAAGUCAUUCCAUCUUUAUUCCCCUAGAGCCUUCCAGCAGUUCCUAAACAGCUCUAGACGGAGCACGUUAUCAUUCUUGUUAGUUCUGAGCGAAUUCCCUCGGUAUGAUCAUUCUUUCAUCAGUUUGUUCUGCAUUCUUCUCUAGUCUGAGCCUCGCACACUAUUCUAGCUAUCAAUGGGUGUGGAUCAUAACACUAAUGACCAAACGGAUCUACGACACCAUCGAAUCUCAAACUUUAACAGCCAAAACUAUUGUUUUUCAUCCUGUAGUCCCUUUUAGAAUUACUAAACGUCCUUUUUUGGGCCGAGAUUUCCAGGAACGCUUUCUCGGGGUUUGUGUGCAUGUAUUUCAAACCAUAUGGACCUAAAAAUUAGAAGUCAUUCCAUCUUUAUUCCCCUAGAGCCUUCCAGCAGUUCCUAAACUGCUCUAGUCGGAGCAUGUUAUCAUUCUUGUUAGUUCUGAGUGAAUUCCCUCGGUAUGAUCAUUCUUUCAUCAGUUUGUUCCCCAUUUCUUCGCUAGUCUGAGCCUAGCACACUAUUCUAGAUAGACAUGGGUGUGGGUCUUAACACCUGAUGACCAAACGGAUCUACGGCACCCUCGAAUCUGAAACUUUAACUGCCAAAACUAUUGUUUUUCAUCUUGUAGUCCCUUUUAGAAUUACUAAACGUCCUUUUUUGGGACGAGAUUUCCAGAAUGCUUUCUCGGGGUUUGUGUGCAUGUAUUUCAAACCAAACGUUCCUAAAAAUUAAAAGUCAUUCCAUCUUUAUUCCCCUAGAGCCUUCCAGCAGUUCCUAAACAGCUCUAGUCGGAGCAUGUUAUCAUUCUUGUUAGUUCUGAGUGAAUUCCCUCGGUAUGAUCAUUCUUUCAUCAGUUUGUUCCCCGUUUCUUCUCUAGUCUGAGCCUAGCACACUACUCUAGCUAGACAUGGGUUUGGCUCGUAACACCUGAUAACCAAACGGGUCUACGACACCAUCGAAUCUCAAACUUUUUUGGGCCGAGAUUUCCAGGAACGCUUUCUCGNNNNNNNNNNUCGCUAGCCUAAGCCUGACACACUAUUCUAGCUACACAUGGGUGUGGCUCGUGACACCUAAUGACCAAACAGAUCUACGGCACCGUCGAAUCUCAAACUUUAACUACCAAAACUAUUGUUUUUCAUUCUGUAGUCCCUUUUAAAUUACUAAACGUCAUUUUUUGGGCCGAGAUUUCUAGGAACGCUUUCUCAGGGUUUGUGUGCAUGUAUUUCAAGUCAUAUGGACCUAAAAAUUAGAAUCCAUUCCAUCUUUAUUCCCCUAGAGCCUUCCAGCAGUUCCUAAACCGCUCCAGUCGGAGCACAUUAUCAUUAUUGUUAGUUCUGAGUGAAUUCCCUCGGUAUGAUCAUUCUUUCAUCAGUUUGUUCCCCGUUUCUGCUCUAGUCUGAGCUUAACACACUAUUCUAGCUAGACAUGGGUGUGGCUCGUAACACCUGAUGACCAAACGGAUCUACGAUACCGUCGAAUCUCAAACUUUAACUACGAAAACUAUUGUUUUUCAUUCUAUAGUCCCUUUUAGAAUUACUAAACGUCCUUUUUUGGGCCGAGAUUUCCAGGAACGCUUUCUCGGGGUUUGUGUGCACGUAUUUCAAACAAUACGGACCUAAAAAUUAGAAUUCAUUCCAUCUUUAUUCCCCUAGAGCCUUCCGGCAGUUCCUAAACCGCUCAAGUCGGAGCACUUUAUCAUUCUUGUUAGUUCUCAGCGAAUUCCCUCGGUAUGAUCAUUCUUUCAUCAGUUUGUUCCCCAUUUCUUCUCUAGCCUGAGCCUAACACACUAUUCUAGCUACAAAUGGGUGUGGCUCGUCACACCCGAUGACCAAACGGAUCUACGGCACCGUUGAAUCUCAAACUUUAACUGCGAAAACUAUUGUUUUUCAUCCUGUAGUCCUUUUUAGAAUUACUAAACGUCCUUUUUUGGGACGAGAUUUCCGGGAACGCUUUCUCGAGGUUUGUGUGCGCGUAUUUCAAACCAUACGAACCUUAAAAUUAGAAUUCAUUCCAUCUUUAUUCCCCUAGAGCCUUCCAGCAGUUCCUAAACCGCUCCAGUCGGAGCACGUUAUCAUUCUUGUUAGUUCUGAGCGAAUUCCCUCGGUAUGAUCAUUCUUUCAUCAGUUUGUUCCUUGUUGCUUCUCUAGCCUGAGCCUGAUACACUAUUCUAGCUAGACAUGGGUGUGGCUCGUGACACCUGAUAACCAAACGGAUCUACAGCACCGUCGAAUCUCAAACUUUAACUACCAAAACUAUUGUUUUCAUUCUGUAGUCCCUUUUAAAUUACUAAACGUCAUUUUUUCGGCCGAGAUUUCCAGGAACGCUUUCUUGGGGUUUGUGUGCAUGUAUUUCAAAUCAUAAGGACCUAAAAAUUAGAAUCCAUUCCAUCUUUAUUUCCCUAGAGCCUUCCAGCAGUUCCUAAACCGCUCCAGUCAGAGCAUGUUAUCAUUAUUGUUAGUUCUGAGUGAAUUCCCUCGGUAUGAUCAUUAUUUCAUCAGUUUGUUCCCCGUUUCUUCUCUAGUCUGAGCCUAACACACUAUUCUAGCUAGACAUGGGUGUGGCUCGUAACACCCGAUGACCAAACGGAUCUACGGCACCGUCGAAUCUCAAACUUUAACUGCGAAAACUAUUGUUUUUCAUCCUUUAGUCCUUUUUAGAAUUACUAAACGUCCUUUUUUGGGACGAGAUUUCCAGGAACGCUUUCUCGGGGUUUGUGUGCGCGUAUUUAAAACCAUACGAACCUUAAAAUUAGAAUUCAUUCCAUCUUUAUUCCCCUAGAGCCUUCCAGUAGUUCCUAAACCGCUCCAGUCGGAGCACCUUAUCAUUCUUGUUAGUUCUGAGCAAAUUCCCUCGGUAUGAUCAUUCUUUCAUCAGUUUGAUCCCCGUUUCUUCUCUAGUCUGAGCCUAGCACACUAUUCUAGCUAUUAAUGGGUGUGGAUCGUAACACCUAAUGACCAAACGGAUCUACGUCACCAUCGAAUCUCAAACUUUAACUACCAAAACUAUUGUUUUUCAUCCUGUAGUCCCUUAAAAUUAGAAUUCAUUCCAUCUUUAUUCCCCUAGAGCCUUCCAGUAGUUCCUAAACCGCUCCAGUCGGAGCACAUUAUCAUUCUUGUUUGUUCUAAGCGAAUUCCCUCAGUAUGAUCAUUCUUUCAUCAUUUUGUUCCCGGUUUCUUCUCUAGUCUGAGUCUAGCACACUAUUCUAGCUAGACAUGGGUGUGGCUCGUAACACCUGAUGACCAAACGGAUCUACGGCAUCGUCGAAUCUCAAACUUUAAUUGCCAAAACUAUUGUUUUUCAUCCUGUAGUCUCUUUUAAAUUUACUAAACGUCCUUUUUUGGGCUGAGAUUUCCUGGAACGCUUUCGUGCGGUUUGUGUGCAAGUAUUUCAAAUCAUACGGACCUAUAAAUUAGAAGUCAUUUCAUCUUUAUUCCCCUAGAGCCUUUGAGCGGUUCCUAAACCGCUCUAGUCGGAGCAUGUUAUCAUUCUUGUUAGUUCUGAGUGAAUUCCCUCGGUAUGAUAAUUCUUUCAUCAGUUUGUUCCCCGUUUCUUCUCUAGUCUGAGCCUAGCACACUACUCUAGCUAGACAUGGGUUUGGCUCGUAACACCUGAUAACCAAACGGGUCUACGACACCAUCGAAUCUCAAACUUUUUUGGGCCGAGAUUUCCAGGAACGCUUUCUCGGGGUUUGUGUGCACGUAUUUCAAAUCAUGCGGACCUAAAAAUUAGAAGUCAUUCCAUAUUUAUUCCCCUAGAGCCUUCCAGCAGUUCCUAAAUCGCUCUAGUCCGAGCAUGUUAUCAUUCUUGUUAGUUCUGAGCGAAUUCCCUCGCUAUGAUCAUUCUUUCAUCAGUUUGUUCUGCGUUUCUUCUCUAGUCUGAGCCUAGCACACUAUUCUAGCUAUUAAUGGGUGUGGAUCGUAACACAUAAUGACCAAACGGAUCUACGGUACCUUCGAAUCUCAAACUUUAACUGCCAAAACUAUUGUUUUUCAUCCUGUAGUCCCUUUUCGAAUUAUUAAACGUCCUCUUUUGGGCCGAGAUUUCUAGGAACGCUUUCUAGGGGUUGGUGUGCAUGUAUUUCAAAUCAUACGGACCUAAAAAUUAGAAGGCAUUUCAUCUUUAUUCCCCUAGAGCCUUCCAACAGUUCCUAAGCCGCUCCAGUCGGAGCAUGUUAUCAUUCUUGUUAGUUCUGAGCGAAUUCCCUCGGUAUGAUCAUUCUUUCAUUAGUUUGUUCCCUAUUUCUUCUCUAGCCUUAGCCUGACACACUAUUCUAGCUAGAAAUGGGUGUGUCUCGUGACACCUAAUGACCAAACGGAUCUACGGCACCGUCGAAUCUCAAACUUUAACUACCAAAACUAUUAUUUUUCAUUCUGUAGUCCCUUUGAAAUUACUAAAUGUCAUUUUUUGGGCCGAGAUUUCCAGGAACGCUUUCUCGGGGUUUGUGUGCAUGUAUUUCAAGUCAUACGGACCUAAAAAUUAAAAUCCAUUCCAUCUUUAUUCCCCUAGAGCCUUCCAGCAGUUCCUAAACCGCUCCAGUCGGAGCAUGUUAUCAUUAUUGUUAGUGCUGAGUGAAUUCCCUCGGUAUGAUCAUUCUUUCAUCAGUUUGGUCCCUGUUUCUUCUCUAGUCUGAGCCUAACACACUAUUCUAGCUAGACAUGGGUGUGGCUCGUAACACCUGAUGACCAAACGGAUCUACGGCACCGUCGAAUCUCAAACUUUAACGACGAAAACUAUUGUUUUUCAUUCUAUAAUCCCUUUUAGAAUUACUAAACGUCCUUUUUUGGGACGAGAUUUCCAGGAACGCUUUCUCCGGGUUUGUGUGUGAGUAUUUCAAACAAUACGGACCUAAAAAUUUGAAUUCAUUCCAUCUUUAUUGCCCUAGAGCCUUCCAGCAGUUCCGAAACCGCUCCAGUCGGAGCACGUUAUCAUUCUUGUUAGUUCUCAGGGAAUUCCCUUGGUAUGAUCAUUCUUUCAUCAGUUUGUUCCCCGUUUCUUCUCUAGCCUGAGCCUAACACACUAUUCUAGCUACACAUGGGUGUGGCUCCUAACACCUGAUGACCAAACGGAUCUAUGGCACCGUCGAAUCUCAAACUUUAACUGCCAAAACUAUUGUUUUUCAUCCUGUAGUCCCUUGUAGAAUUACUAAACGUCCUUUUUUGGGUCUAGAUUUCGAGGAACACUUUGCCGGGGUUUGUGUGCACGUAUUUCAAACCAUACGGACCUAAAAGUUAGAAGUCAUUCAGUCUUUGUUCCCCUAGAGCCUUCCAGCAGUUCCUAAACCGCUCCAGUCGGAGCAUGUGAUCGUUCUUGUUAGUUCUGAGCGAAUUCCCUCGUUAUGAUCAUUCUUUCAUCAGUUUGUUCCCUGUUUCUUCUCUAUCCUGAGCCUGACACACUAUUCUAGCUAGACAUGGGUGUGGCUCGUGACACCUGAUGACCAAACGGAUCUACGGCACCGUCGAAUCUCAAACUUUAACUACCAAAACUAUUGUUUUUCAUUCUGUAGUCCCUUUUAAAUUACUAAACAUCAUUUUUUGGACAGAGAUUUCGAGGAAUGCUUUCUCGGGGUUUGUGUGCAUGUAUUUCAAAUCAUACGGGCCUAAAAAUUAGAAUCCAUUCCAUCUUUAUUCCCCUGGAGCCUUCCAGCAGUUCCUAAACCGCUCCAGUCGGAGCAUGUUAUCAUUAUUGUUAGUUCUGAGUGAAUUCCCUCGGUAUGAUCAUUCUUUCAUCAGUUUGCUCCCCGUUUCUUCUCUAGUCUGAGCCUAACACACUAUUCUAGCUAGACAUGGGUGUGGCUCGUAACACCUGAUGACCAAACGGAUCUACGGCACCCUCGAAUCUCAAACUUUAACUGCCAAAACUAUUGUUUUUCAUCUUGUAGUCCCUUUUAGAAUUACUAAACAUCCUUUUUUGGGCCGAGAUUUCCAGGAACGCUUUCUCGGGGUUUGUGUGCAUGUAUUUCAAACCAAACGUUCCUAAAAAUUAGAAGGCAUUCCAUCUUUAUUCCCCUAGAGCCUUCCAGAAGUUCCUAAACAGCUCUAGUCGGAGCAUGUUAUCAUUCUUGUUAUUUCUGAGUGAAUUCCCUCGGUAUGAUCAUUCUUUCAUCAGCAUCAGUUUGUUUUGCGUUUCUUCUCUAGUCUGAGCCUAGCACACUAUUCUAGCUAUUAAUGGGUGUGGAUCGUAACACCUAAUGACCAAACGGAUCUACGGCACCAUCGAAUCUCAAACUUUAACUGCCAAAACUAUUGUUUUUCAUCCUGUAGUCCCUUUCCGAAUUAUUAAACGUUCUUUUUUGGGCCGAGAUUUCC
This 39066-nucleotide long non-coding RNA is filed under the name Triticum aestivum (bread wheat). RNAcentral's name for it is "long non-coding RNA (TAES_LNC019905)". The record is from RNAcentral. Lineage: Eukaryota; Viridiplantae; Streptophyta; Magnoliopsida; Poales; Poaceae.